Molecule: non-coding RNA, 135 nt
Organism: Triticum aestivum (bread wheat)
Lineage: Eukaryota; Viridiplantae; Streptophyta; Magnoliopsida; Poales; Poaceae
Source: Rfam
UUUCUACUCCCUCCGUCCCAAAAUUCUUGUCUUACAUUUGUCUAAAUACGGAUGUAUCAAGUCACGUUUUAGUAUUAGAUACAUCCGUAUCUAGAGAAAUUUAAGACAAGAAUUUUGGGACGGAGGGAGUAGUUU